AAAAAAGCAGGGUCUUGUUGCCUUUCGUGAACGAGGCUCUCGUACACUUCAGGAAAAUUACUUGCAUUGUUAUUGGGUGAACCUCUGUUUUCAUGUGGUGACUGAAGGUUCAGUAAAUGAUGCCACAUUU
This 130-nucleotide small nucleolar RNA is filed under the name Theobroma cacao (cacao). RNAcentral's name for it is "Small nucleolar RNA snoR74". It matches the Rfam family "Small nucleolar RNA snoR74". The record is from Rfam by way of RNAcentral. Lineage: Eukaryota; Viridiplantae; Streptophyta; Magnoliopsida; Malvales; Malvaceae.